GACGAACGCUGGCGGCGUGCCUAAUACAUGCAAGUCGAACGAACUCUGGUAUUGAUUGGUGCUUGCAUCAUGAUUUACAUUUGAGUGAGUGGCGAACUGGUGAGUAACACGUGGGAAACCUGCCCAGAAGCGGGGGAUAACACCUGGAAACAGAUGCUAAUACCGCAUAACAACUUGGACCGCAUGGUCCGAGCUUGAAAGAUGGCUUCGGCUAUCACUUUUGGAUGGUCCCGCGGCGUAUUAGCUAGAUGGUGGGGUAACGGCUCACCAUGGCAAUGAUACGUAGCCGACCUGAGAGGGUAAUCGGCCACAUUGGGACUGAGACACGGCCCAAACUCCUACGGGAGGCAGCAGUAGGGAAUCUUCCACAAUGGACGAAAGUCUGAUGGAGCAACGCCGCGUGAGUGAAGAAGGGUUUCGGCUCGUAAAACUCUGUUGUUAAAGAAGAACAUAUCUGAGAGUAACUGUUCAGGUAUUGACGGUAUUUAACCAGAAAGCCACGGCUAACUACGUGCCAGCAGCCGCGGUAAUACGUAGGUGGCAAGCGUUGUCCGGAUUUAUUGGGCGUAAAGCGAGCGCAGGCGGUUUUUUAAGUCUGAUGUGAAAGCCUUCGGCUCAACCGAAGAAGUGCAUCGGAAACUGGGAAACUUGAGUGCAGAAGAGGACAGUGGAACUCCAUGUGUAGCGGUGAAAUGCGUAGAUAUAUGGAAGAACACCAGUGGCGAAGGCGGCUGUCUGGUCUGUAACUGACGCUGAGGCUCGAAAGUAUGGGUAGCAAACAGGAUUAGAUACCCUGGUAGUCCAUACCGUAAACGAUGAAUGCUAAGUGUUGGAGGGUUUCCGCCCUUCAGUGCUGCAGCUAACGCAUUAAGCAUUCCGCCUGGGGAGUACGGCCGCAAGGCUGAAACUCAAAGGAAUUGACGGGGGCCCGCACAAGCGGUGGAGCAUGUGGUUUAAUUCGAAGCUACGCGAAGAACCUUACCAGGUCUUGACAUACUAUGCAAAUCUAAGAGAUUAGACGUUCCCUUCGGGGACAUGGAUACAGGUGGUGCAUGGUUGUCGUCAGCUCGUGCCGUGAGAUGUUGGGUUAAGUCCCGCAACGAGCGCAACCCUUAUUAUCAGUUGCCAGCAUUAAGUUGGGCACUCUGGUGAGACUGCCGGUGACAAACCGGAGGAAGGUGGGGAUGACGUCAAAUCAUCAUGCCCCUUAUGACCUGGGCUACACACGUGCUACAAUGGAUGGUACAACGAGUUGCAAACUCGCGAGAGUAAGCUAAUCUCUUAAAGCCAUUCUCAGUUCGGAUUGUAGGCUGCAACUCGCCUACAUGAAGUCGGAAUCGCUAGUAAUCGCGGAUCAGCAUGCCGCGGUGAAUACGUUCCCGGGCCUUGUACACACCGCCCGUCACACCAUGAGAGUUUGUAACACCCAAAGUCGGUGGGGUAACCUUUUAGGAACCAGCCGCCUAAGGUGGGACAGAUGAUUAGGGUG
This 1489-nucleotide ribosomal RNA is filed under the name Lactiplantibacillus argentoratensis. RNAcentral describes it as "bacterial SSU rRNA". It matches the Rfam family "Bacterial small subunit ribosomal RNA". Lineage: Bacteria; Bacillati; Bacillota; Bacilli; Lactobacillales; Lactobacillaceae. The record is from RNAcentral.